This 466-nucleotide ribosomal RNA is filed under the name uncultured bacterium. RNAcentral's name for it is "partial 16S ribosomal RNA". It matches the Rfam family "Bacterial small subunit ribosomal RNA", at positions 28 to 507 of the family's 1533-position model. The record is from RNAcentral.
GAUGAACGCUGGCGGCGUGCUUAACACAUGCAAGUCGAACGAUGAAGCCCAGCUUGCUGGGUGGAUUAGUGGCGAACGGGUGAGUAACACGUGAGUAACCUGCCCUUGACUCUGGGAUAAGCGCUGGAAACGGCGUCUAAUACCGGAUACGAGCUUCCACCGCAUGGUGAGUUGCUGGAAAGAAUUUCGGUCAAGGAUGGACUCGCGGCCUAUCAGGUAGUCGGUGAGGUAACGGCUCACCAAGCCGACGACGGGUAGCCGGCCUGAGAGGGUGACCGGCCACACUGGGACUGAGACACGGCCCAGACUCCUACGGGAGGCAGCAGUGGGGAAUAUUGCACAAUGGGCGCAAGCCUGAUGCAGCAACGCCGCGUGAGGGACGAAGGCCUUCGGGUCGUAAACCUCUUUUAGCAGGGAAGAAGCGAAAGUGACGGUACCUGCAGAAAAAGCACCGGCUAACUACGUG